RNAcentral lists this ribosomal RNA (253 nucleotides) under uncultured bacterium. RNAcentral's name for it is "partial 16S ribosomal RNA". It matches the Rfam family "Bacterial small subunit ribosomal RNA", at positions 524 to 776 of the family's 1533-position model. The record is from RNAcentral.
UACGAACCACACAAACGUUAUUCGGAAUUACUGGGCUUAAAGGGUGCGUAGGCGGCGCGGAAAGUUGGGUGUGAAAUCCCUCGGCUCAACCGAGGAACUGCGCUCAAUACUACCGUGCUCGAGGGAGACAGAGGUGAGCGGAACUUAGGGUGGAGCGGUGAAAUGCGUUGAUAUCCUAAGGAACACCCGUGGCGAAAGCGGCUCACUGGGUCUCUUCUGACGCUGAGGCACGAAAGCUAGGGUAGCGAACGGG